RNAcentral lists this ribosomal RNA (445 nucleotides) under uncultured bacterium. RNAcentral describes it as "bacterial SSU rRNA". It matches the Rfam family "Bacterial small subunit ribosomal RNA", at positions 338 to 795 of the family's 1533-position model. The record is from RNAcentral.
CCUACGGGAGGCAGCAGUGGGGAAUAUUGGGCAAUGGGCGAAAGCCUGACCCAGCGACGCCGCGUGCGGGAUGAAGGCCUUCGGGUUGUAAACCGCUUUCAGCAGGGAAGAAGCGAAAGUGACGGUACCUGAAGAAGAAGCACCGGCUAACUAUGUGCCAGCAGCCGCGGUAAUACAUAGGGUGCAAGCGUUGUCCGGAAUUAUUGGGCGUAAAGAGCUCGUAGGUGGUUCGUUACGUCGGAUGUGAAAACCUGAGGCUCAACCUCAGGCCUGCAUUCGAUACGGGCGAACUUGAGUGUGGUAGGGGAGGCUGGAAUUCCUGGUGUAGCGGUGGAAUGCGCAGAUAUCAGGAGGAACACCAAUGGCGAAGGCAGGCCUCUGGGCCACUACUGACACUGAGGAGCGAAAGCGUGGGGAGCAAACAGGAUUAGAUACCCUUGUAGUC